Haliotis rubra (blacklip abalone) is the source of this 1379-nucleotide long non-coding RNA. RefSeq lists it as uncharacterized. The transcript has 2 exons. Lineage: Eukaryota; Metazoa; Mollusca; Gastropoda; Lepetellida; Haliotidae. The record is from RefSeq and is a predicted model, not a curated record.
GAGGAACAUCCACGCCGUCAGCUGUGACAGGCUCGGCCUCCCAGCUCUGUGUAUCUGUACGGGUGUUCUUGGUCUCGCCGGAGCGGUUGUUUACGCAGUGUAUGAAGCCGAUGGACACUCGACAUUUUCUUCCGGUCUCUACCUUGUGUUAGUUGGUUCUGCGUUUUGCCUACUGUGUGGGAUACUGUUGUUGUGUCGGAAGCCAAAGCAGGAUGAAGAUGAUCUUGAUGAUGACAGUUUCCCUAGCCCGCCUGUAUACAGCUCCACCAUCAACCCAGUGUUUCCUGAAUCGACGCAACUGCAGGCUCUUGAAACUGAAGUCUUUUACUAAGCAUAUUGAAUGGAGCUGUUGAAUAAUUCAUCGUGAAACACGCAUGUUUGGCACAUGCUAACACUCUAGUCAUGUAUGUCCUGUUAUUGAAGACGUUUUGAAAGAUUUCGAUGACAAUGCGUUAAUGAUAACGAUUGAAGACAAUCAAUUUGACCUACACCAAAACCAUGCAGUGUUGUUACAUUAAUGGAUGUAUAUCCCUGUGUUCACAUUUUCAUAUCAUAAUAUUGAAUCUGCAUGUUUCUUGAUUCGUAACACGACAUAUGUGCAUAUAAUGUUUAUUACAGGUAAUAUUUUAUGUUUAUUUUUGGCCUUUGUGCGUCAUCAUAUAUGUAUAUACGAUGCUUAAUAGUGACAUCUCUCAGUACCUGUCCCAAACUGUAAAUUUUAGGAGGACCUUGAAGUAUAAUAAUACAGACAAUAAUUGUAAUACGUCAGUACUAAAGUGAAAUGUGUAUAGCAAUACAUCUACAUUAGAUCAAGUUAACGGAUCGGGGCGGUGGGGUAGCCUAGUGGUUAAAGCGUUGGCUCGUCACGCCGAAGACCCGGGUUCGAUUCCCCACAUGGGCACAAUGUGUUAAGCCCAUUUCUGGUGUCCCCCCGCCGUGAUAUUGCUGGAAUAUUGCUAAAAGCGGCCUAAAACUAAACUCAGUCAUUCAGUCAGGUUAACGGAUCAGUGUCCGUUCCAUUUUCGUUCUCAGUUCCCUUCGGAGUAUACGACUCAAACUGCUCGUGAGGCGAUAACCGGCUAUCAGUCACAUUACCAUCUCAUCCUACCGGGUAUCCCUCGUUGAUGGCUGAAUAGAGACACAUUACGAAGAAAGUCGUUUGCCUAGGGUGAUAACAUAUGUGCUUCAUGUGGAACGAGUCUGGAUCAGCCCGGCCAGAUAGACGUAUGUAACAACGGUAACAUAAUCAGCGAACAUAUUGUGUCCCUAUCAACAUCAUCUGUCAGAUAUACAUUAUAAAGCACCAAAUGUGUAUGAUGUGACAAGACAAAGGACUUGUACGUGCUGAACAUAGACGAAUAAAGUUCUGUUAACUGAAA